GAAAGUCUAAUUAAUUACAUUUUUUAAUAUGUGUGAAAUGUCUAAAACAUCAUAUAAUUUGGGACGGAGUAACAUUUAGGAAGUUGCUUGAUUUGUCACUUUUCCUAAACUCCAAUAAACCGAGGUUCAUAAUGUUUAUUGAUCAGCUUGAGGCAACUUCCCUAAAUUCCAUACUAAAUAAUUGAUUCAAUAUAUAGCUUGAAAAUCACUACUCAUCACUCAUCCAACCAAAAGGAAUCAAUUAAAGAUGGUAGUAGCCUGAGUAUAUUAUCCGAUAAUACUACUUUUUUUUAGUGCCACUGAAUUGAUAAAUGAAAACCUCAAAACAGUUAUUAUUUUGGCCAAC
RNAcentral lists this long non-coding RNA (346 nucleotides) under Medicago truncatula (barrel medic). Its description in RNAcentral is "long non-coding RNA (MTRU_LNC007874)". The record is from RNAcentral. Lineage: Eukaryota; Viridiplantae; Streptophyta; Magnoliopsida; Fabales; Fabaceae.